This 440-nucleotide ribosomal RNA is filed under the name uncultured bacterium. RNAcentral's name for it is "partial 16S ribosomal RNA". It matches the Rfam family "Bacterial small subunit ribosomal RNA", at positions 339 to 795 of the family's 1533-position model. The record is from RNAcentral.
CUACGGGUGGCAGCAGUUGGGAAUAUUGCACAAUGGAGGAAACUCUGAUGCAGCAACGCCGCGUGGAGGAUGACACUUUUCGGAGCGUAAACUCCUUUUAUAUAGGAAGAAGAUGACGGUACUAUAUGAAUAAGCGCCGGCUAACUCCGUGGCCAGCAGCCGCGGUAAUACGGAGGGCGCAAGCGUUACGCGGAAUCACUGGGCGUAAAGAGCGUGUAGGCGGAUUAAAAAGUCAGAAGUGAAAUCCUAUAGCUUAACUAUAGAACUGCUUCUGAAACUCUUAAUCUAGAAUGUGGGAGAGGUAGAUGGAAUUUCUGGUGUAGGGGUAAAAUCAGUAGAGAUCAGAAGGAAUACCGAUUGCGAAGGCGAUCUACUAGAACAUUAUUGACGCUGAGACGCGAAAGCGUGGGGAGCAAACAGGAUUAGAUACCCUCGUAGUC